CAUAAAAGAUAGUGAACAAAGAAGCAACAGGAAGGAAGGGGCAAGCUCAAAGACUGUGAUGUGUGGAAAAAUCUCCUCAUUGACUUGGUAUUGAAGAAGCAUCGAAGGCUGGAAUUUUCUUAUAUAGGUAAAGGCAGAGGCCGCAGAGGAAGGAGAAGGAGAAGAAGACAUUAAACUUCAAAGGCAAAAGCUGUUGCCCUGUUCAGUCUCUGCUUUACAACACUGAAAUUCAUCUCGUCCAGUGACCUCUUAGACGACACCCUUCUUCUAACAAGAUGCCAGCAACUUACUUGAGAGUGAACAGUGUCCAUCUGUCAAUAAAGUGAAAUACCACCACUAUCGCCA
RNAcentral lists this long non-coding RNA (345 nucleotides) under Pogona vitticeps (central bearded dragon). Its description in RNAcentral is "lncRNA (ENSPVIG00000001392.1)". Lineage: Eukaryota; Metazoa; Chordata; Lepidosauria; Squamata; Agamidae. The record is from RNAcentral.